This 301-nucleotide ribosomal RNA is filed under the name uncultured bacterium. RNAcentral's name for it is "partial 16S ribosomal RNA". It matches the Rfam family "Bacterial small subunit ribosomal RNA", at positions 509 to 807 of the family's 1533-position model. The record is from RNAcentral.
CAGUCGCCACGGUAAUACGAAGGGUGCAAGCGUUAAUCGGAAUUACUGGGCGUAAAGCGUGCGUAGGCGGUUUGUUAAGUCUGUUGUGAAAUCCCCGGGCUCAACCUGGGAAUGGCAAUGGAUACUGGCAAGCUAGAGUGUGUCAGAGGAUGGUGGAAUUCCCGGUGUAGCGGUGAAAUGCGUAGAGGUCGGGAGGAACAUCAGUGGCGAAGGCGGCCAUCUGGGACAACACUGACGCUGAGGCACGAAAGCGUGGGGAGCAAACAGGAUUAGAUACCCCGGUAGUCCCUGUCUCUUAUAC